UAGUCCACGCCGUAAACUAUGGACACUUGGUGUCGGAGGUAUUGACCCCUUCGGUGCCGUAGCUAACGCGUUAAGUGUCCCGCCUGGGGAGUACGGUCGCAAGAUUAAAACUCAAAGAAAUUGACGGGGGCCCGCACAAGCGGUGGAGCAUGUGGUUUAAUUCGACGCAACGCGAAAUACCUUACCUGGGUUUGAAUUGCAACGGACAACUCUAGAGAUAGAGUCUUUCUUCGGAAUCGUUGUGAAGGUGCUGCAUGGCUGUCGUCAGCUCGUGUCGUGAGAUGUUGGGUUAAGUCCCGCAACGAGCGCAACCCUUGCCAUUAGUUGCCAGCAUUUAGUUGGGCACUCUAGUGGGACUGCCGACGUUAAGUCGGAGGAAGGUGGGGAUGACGUCAAGUCCUCAUGGCCCUUAUGUCCAGGGCUACACACGUGCUACAAUGGGAAAUACAAAGGGUUGCCAAGCCGCAAGGUGGAGCUAAUCCCAAAAAUUUCUCUAAGUUCGGAUUGAGGUCUGCAACUCGACCU
Molecule: ribosomal RNA, 525 nt
Filed under: uncultured bacterium
Lineage: Bacteria
Description: bacterial SSU rRNA
Rfam family: Bacterial small subunit ribosomal RNA
Source: RNAcentral